AAAGGGAGACCUAAUUCAGGUAAAAGACGAAAAAAAAGUAGUCGCUACCAAGAAUCAAUCCCAAAAGGUCGGAGCGAGGCGAAAUUGGCUUUCAAACUAGGUUCUGGGUUCACACAAGACCUGAAUCAGGAACAAGGGCUAUUAGCUCAGGUGGUUAGAGCGCACCCCUGAUAAGGGUGAGGUCCCUGGUUCGAGUCCAGGAUGGCCCACCUGCACAGGUGGCAAAAACAAGAGAAGCUCCGAAUCAGCACCUUACCUUACUGACAUAGUAAGAGAGAAUGCUGGCUCUGAGUAAAGAGUCCAGAGGAACCUUGAAAACUGCAUAGAGCUAGGUGAAAAAGCCAAAAAGGAAGACCGCAAG
This 361-nucleotide transfer RNA is filed under the name uncultured Microcystis sp. Its description in RNAcentral is "partial 16S-23S ribosomal RNA intergenic spacer". The stretch from base 136 to 209 matches the Rfam family "tRNA". Lineage: Bacteria; Bacillati; Cyanobacteriota; Cyanophyceae; Chroococcales; Microcystaceae. The record is from RNAcentral.